AUUGAAUUUACUUUCAGCAUAUUGGAGAUGGCAGCACAAGUACGUCCAACCAAAGCGAGCCGGAAUCGCUCCAUUUUUACAAGUCGUAGUUGGAUGCAUGGGAAUCUUUUAUGUCUUCAACUAUGACAAGAUCUGUGAGUAAAUUUCGUAAAUUACAC
Non-coding RNA from Dendroctonus ponderosae (mountain pine beetle), 158 nucleotides. NCBI's taxonomy places the organism in Eukaryota, Metazoa, Arthropoda, Insecta, Coleoptera, Curculionidae. The record is from Rfam.